Molecule: ribosomal RNA, 496 nt
Filed under: uncultured bacterium
Lineage: Bacteria
Description: partial 16S ribosomal RNA
Rfam family: Bacterial small subunit ribosomal RNA
Source: RNAcentral
GAUGAACGCUGGCGGCGUGCCUAAUACAUGCAAGUCGAGCGAACGGACGAGAAGCUUGCUUCUCUGAUGUUAGCGGCGGACGGGUGAGUAACACGUGGAUAACCUACCUAUAGACUGGGAUAACUUCGGGAAACCGUAGCUAAUACCGGAUAAUAUUUUGAACCGCAUGGUUCAAAAGUGAAAGACGGUCUUGCUGUCACUUAUAGAUGGAUCCGCGCUGCAUUAGCUAGUUGGUAAGGUAACGGCCUACCAAGGCAACGAUGCAUAGCCGACCUGAGAGGGUGAUCGGCCACACUGGAACUGAGACACGGUCCAGACUCCUACGGGAGGCAGCAGUAGGGAAUCUUCCGCAAUGGGCGAAAGCCUGACGGAGCAACGCCGCGUGAGUGAUGAAGGUCUUCGGAUCGUAAAACUCUGUUAUUAGGGAAGAACAUAUGUGUAAGUAACUGUGCACAUCUUGACGGUACCUAAUCAGAAAGCCACGGCUAACUACGUG